Falco peregrinus (peregrine falcon) is the source of this 17935-nucleotide long non-coding RNA. RefSeq lists it as uncharacterized. The transcript has 3 exons. NCBI's taxonomy places the organism in Eukaryota, Metazoa, Chordata, Aves, Falconiformes, Falconidae. The record is from RefSeq and is a predicted model, not a curated record.
CUUUAUGAAAAUGUACUCCAUUCCUACAUGUGAAAUGCAGCUAUGUUUUCCUGAAGGCAAAGGCUUUUGAUGACAUUUCAGAGCUACCAUUAAGAGUUCAAGGGUAACAGUCAUCCAUGUAAUGAGUUUCAUCAGCUGAAGUAUCACCGCCCAUGCAGCUACCCUUCUGUAUGGCAGCCAAGCAUAUGCUUCAAGUUAUUUCAGAAUUGGUAUCUAGCUAUUUAUUAUGACAUUAAGGCAAUAUGAAAGUAUUUCUUAUCACUUUAGUUUUGUGUAUAAUGUGGUUUGGAUUUUAUGAGAACCGUAUUCUUCCAGUAUUGUUCCCAGUUUGCUGUUUUCCUUUUAGUUUGUGUAGGGUAUUCUUAAAAUCAGGAGCUGUGAGCUGAAUACUUAUUAUUGUUUAAAGCAAAGUUUUCCUUUUUUUGUCCUUGCAUUUAAUGCUGAAAAUGUCUUCAUUAUGGCAGCAAACUAGUUAAAUAUUUCAUAUUUUGGUAAGACUCAUUUGCCUUGGAAGUCUCUUUCAAUUGCUGUGUUUUGAGAAUCUACCACUGAUUGGAGGAGAAAGGGACAGAGAAAAAAUUACAAAUUCCCGAUUUGUGUACUACUAGAAGCAUAAGUGACAACCCAGGAUUGACUAUGGGAUAUUCUGCAUCUUUACGUUGACCGUGUGCAACAGUCCUGUGGCCAUGCAGACUUCACAGUUGUCAUUUAUACCAUAGUUUGUGGCCACACAGAUAUUGUGGUUAUAAAUGGAGACAGAUCGUGUGCAAGACACUCCACUCCAGUGACACGCAGCCUUUUAGUGGUAGAGCUUAAGGACAAUUUGUAGCUGCCAUAGCAGUAUUAGUUUGUAUCAUCUGCAUGCAAGGCAGCAUAUCCUAUGUCCUUGAGCACUUCACCCAGUUAAGAAUGGUUCUAUUCACACGUGCUCGUUGUUGAAGACUAGGUUCAGAUCACUGCCACCCAGCAUCCACAUUUGCAAUGACUUAAAAACAUAUUCUUGACUCCAAAAAUUAAUUCAGAGAUCUAAGUGAGACAUCUGGGCUUUGUGCAAGAUUGGGAACAGAGCCAAGUAGGUGUCUCUGGAGGACAGUUCAAUGCUCAGUGAGUGGAGAGCUGCCAACAUUAGUCAUUAGGGAACAUCACUCCAGGAGCAGGUCAGAGCUGCUGUCUCAGUGCAUCUGAUUUGUGGUUGUGCAUAAAGUGUCUCGAUCCACUUGGAGUAGUGAUGCCCCGGCAGGGCUGGUACCUGCUUAAGAAGGACUAAAAAACAGGGAUACAGUGCCAGGAGCUGACUUUUGUGAAGUAGGCCAGUGGCUGCCCAGCCCAAGAGGAGGGAGGCCAAGGACCUUCUUAGCCUGACAGAGUCCAGUUUACUGUGCCACUCCGUAAAAGAAGUCCUCACCAUGAAGCUACAGCAAGGCUAUGGAAGAGCCAUUAUCUGCUAUCGUUGUAAAAUCAGACUAGAGAGGGAGCCUGAUCCCAUCAUCCAAGGACAAGCAUCUCCCUUGUGUGCCUGACCUAAAGUAUUAAUUAGUCCUUACCUGUUCCUUCUAAUUAUGUCUUCCAAAAAGCAGACCAGCAAGGAGGGAAGAUCUCAGUGUGAAGAUUCUCACGUGAAAUUCCCACAAUAAUGAGGAGUUCAGCUAUGGUGUCUUGGUAUACACCAGAAUCAUUGCUUGCUCCUUGCAGCAUUACAGACUAUUAGGUCUGCUGCUGAAUGUCCCAUGCAGAUAAGAGUCACUGCUAGCCAUCCAAACACUCCCCAGGAGCAGAGCUGGCCCUCCAGAGCUCUUUGGGCAGCAGGACUGAAUCGUAUGCUUAGACAAUAGAGGAACGCGUUGGGUGGACUGGUUGCUCUUGAGAAGAGCUUGUGAGCAUGCCUCCGCUUAAGCCUGUCCAGGUCUGUCCUAAAUAGUAAAACAAUAUAUACAGAGACACAGAUGGUAAAGUACUGUUCCGUGUUGGUGCUCAGCACACCACAAUACUGUUAAUUAAGCUUUGUUAGUUUGAUGUCCAGUUUUUCUGACAUGGGUUUUGAUCUAAUCUUGCAGAAUUCUAAAACUCUUGUCUUUUUUCUUUUUAUGUGCAAGUACAUUUUAAAAAGAUUUUCAUAAUUUCUUUGUGUCCGGCUUCUCUAAUAAGGUUGGACAGAUUCUCACAGUUUCUGUUGCUAAUAUGAUUCCUGGCAAAUAGAGCAGAAGGUUCAGGAGAACAAAAGAAAUGAUCUAAUUUUAGUAAUGGUGCAGACUGAGUCUGUCAUUUUUCUCUCUCUUUUAUCCUCCUACCCUUUCUGAAUGUCAGAACCUCUCCCAGCACUGCCUCUUUUCAGUUUGUAUUGAAUUCUUGUUCUUCAUCAAGGACUGGGCAUGAUGAGUUUUUAGAUACUCCUCUGAACAGAAGCUGGAGUAUUUGUGAGGCUUAUCAGUGAAAUUUUGACUUGUCACAGGUAAUCUGCUAAGAAUGAAUCACUUCCAGCAAAGCUGUUUUUGCAAAUUAGAAAACCUUAUAUCUGAAAUUUCAUUUAAUAUGUAUGUCAUAUUUCUAGUAUCCAUUUUGAAUCUUAAAUUGAAGUUUGAGUCUAAUACAGUGUAAAGACAAUAAAGGAAUUUAGUUUCUGAAAGACAAAGAGGGUUGCAUUUAGUGUAGUAGGUCUGAUCAGCUUGCAGAGUGGUCAGACCUCUAUCCCGUGAUGUUCUUUAGCCUGUGCAUAAUUGAAAUAUGAGAAUUUCUGUAUAAGCCUUAACAUAAAACAUAUUCUUUCAAAGGCAAUGGAAAUACUAGCAUAUUUUAGAUUAAAUAUAUACUUCCAAACUUCCCUAGGUUUGGAUCUUGGGGGAUUUUCUACUGAAUAACAAUUAUGCUUGUCUUAGUCAACCUUUAUUCUUAUUCUUGUGCUCCUGUUUUGGAUAUGAGAAAUAAACAGGCUGUAUUUGCAAUUUGGAGGAUGGCAAUGACAAACAUCUGAUGUGCAAAAAAGGACAAGAAAGCACAGAGUAAAGAAUAACAUGGCUGAAAGCGAGAAUUGCUUGAGCAGUAAAAAAAUGGAGAGGAUGUCCUUUCUCAGAUGUUAAUUUUUUGAGUGUACAACAAAAACACUGGUAUGGUUAGAAAUAAAUUGUAGUUCAACAUUUAGAGGCAUAAUAUAUUACAAAAUGAAAAAUAAAGCCAGCCUGAUGAUUAACUUUGUUUCUGAACGUGGUUACUUAAAUAACCAUGUCAAACUUGAUUAAAAAUGUGCAAUAAUUUUUCAAAACAAGUCAUUCCUUAUCUCUAGCUUCAGUUUGUUUCAUAUCAUGUCAUCGAUAUAGAAGGAGGCAGACAAGCAUUGCAAUUAAAUCUAUAAAACCUACAACUAUAUCCACAUUAAAAUAACUUCCAGUUAUUGCUGUAACAAACCACACUACUGGCCUAAAAUUACAUUUUAUUACUUUUGUUUUUACAUUUAUUUUACAUUUAAUUACUACCCCUAUUACUUUGGGAUAACACUUGCUGGCAACACUUUAGAACGCCAUUUUCAUUUGCAAAUGCUCCAAAAAUAAUUAGGCAGACCUCCUACCCCGACUUAUGUGAUGGACUUAAAAACUAGGCUGAAGAAUUGAGAUUGGAGAAGUAUUGCUUCUCAGUUUUCUGUCUUCAGGACUUCUAUUUACAUUGCUUUUUCUGAAAUCAUUAUGCCUGAAACCCAGGAACUUGAGGUUAACGAAGCCCUCUGCCAAACAGGCAAGGUUUGCAAUGCAUUCUCCCUUAUCUCAACCAAGCAGCUCAUCCUUUUACCAGGAAAUGGAAGGGAAGGACCGUUCUCUCUCCAUUCCUGUUUUCCAUUCACAAAGAGGUUUGGAUGAUUCCACCCCGAGGCUCAGGUAACUACAGCACUCGUGCUCAGACAAUGUCCCAUACCAGGCUGUGAGGCUGGACACGGCGGGUGGAAUAGUGGUGGGGAAUGGCUGCACAGCGAUCUGGCUGUCCCUCACCACAAAGGCCUCCAUGCCCUUUAUGCCACGCAGAGUUGAGUUAACUGCCCUUUUUGUCCUCUCCCUCUCCUGCCACAGUAAGUACACAGACUGCCAGCCCACCCUCCCCAGUAGUACUCAGUCUUGCUUAUCCCAUACCUCUUUCUGCUCUGGUGCCUGGCCAUUACUCCUACUACACCUACAGUCAUGGAAUAGCACGAUACUUAAGUGAAUGUUCAUUAAAUGCUUCGCAUGCAGGGGCUGGGUGGAAGACUAGAAAUGGGCAGGAGGAUCUGGGGAUUGCUGACAGUUUUCCCGCAGAGUACAAAAAAGGUCAGCUCUCCCAGGCCUCUCUGUUGGGUGCUCUGUAACAUCUUCAUAGUUCUUUCCUUUAUCUGGCAUGUGUUUGUCACAGCAUGACUUUCUGUCUGGGCUAAGUCAUUCGUGCCCCUUUCGGUACAGCAGAGCCUGAGGCACAGGCUCAACCACCAUUCCAGCCAGCCCCUCCCAUCGCUAUCACAUACAGCUUUUAUCAGGGUGCUAAUACUGUGGCUAACGAUUUCUGUGUUCUUGAGGCACAUUAAGAAAUCUGGCAUAUAGCCCGCGGCUAGAGCUCAGAUUCUGCAACAAUAAUGUUUACAUUGGCAGGCCUUUGAACAGAAACUCACAUUCACUCCAGCUGGCUGGUGUGAUUCUAGCAAUUAAUUCAGCUUUUCCAGUGGCAAGAGUUUGUUGAUACAGCUUGUUGCUCUUCCUGUCGCAAAACACAUCAAUAACAUGGAAAAAAACUGCCUAGGCAAGUCACAGAGUCACAGAAGCGCCGAGGUUGGAAGGGACCGCUGGAGGCUGUCUAGUCCAAGCCCUGCUCAGAGCAGGGCCAACCAAGAGCUGGUUGCUCAGGGCUGUGUCCUGUCAGACUUUUAGUAUCUCCAAGGUCAGAGACUGUACAACCUCUCUGGGCAACCUGUUCCAGUGUUUGACCUCCCUCCCAGUAAAAAGUUAUGUUUAAAUGGAAUUUCUUGUAUUUCAAUGCAUGUCCAUUGCCUCUUGUCUUCUCACCAAGAAGAGUCUGGCUCUGUCUUCUUACCUCUUCACAUCAGGUGUUUAUAUACAUAGAUAAGAUUAUUCUGAGCUUCUCCAGACUAAACAGACCCAGCUCCUUCAAUCUCUCCUCAUAUGACACGUUCUCCAGUCCCUUAACCAUCACUGUGGCCCUUUGUUCGACUCAUUCCAGGAUGUCUCUGUCUCUUUUGUACUACUGAGCCCAGGACUGGACCCAGCACUGCAGAUGUGACCUCACUGGUGCUGAAGAGAGGAGAAGGAUCACUUCCCUUGGCCUGCUGGAGAUGCUUUUCCUAAUGCAGCCCUGGAGGCUGUUGGCCUUCUUUGCUGCAAGGUCACCUUGCUGGCUUAUGGUCAGAUUGUUGUCCACCAGGAUGCCCAAGGCCUUUCUUGCAAGUCUGCUUUCCAACUGGCUGACCUCAGCCUGUACUGGUACUUAGGGCUGUUCAUCUCUGGGUGCAGGACUUCGCAAUUCUCUUGGUUGAACUUGAUGAGAUUGCUGUUUGUUCUAAGUCUUUAUAAAGAACCACAUGGGAUAGAGCUGGAGGGAUGGAGAUUCAAGUAUCUGAAGUUCCCACAAAAUCCACACAUUGUUAGUUGUCUAAUUUUUUAACUCAUGGCCCUCACAUUUAUAAGACCAUGUCUGAGCUCUGGAGGCUGUCAGAAAUCUGAAACAAAGACAAAAGCAAUGCAUACAAUGAUUAGCUUUUUAAGUCUACACAGAAAAGAAGCGCUGCAGUUAUUUAAUUCUCUGGGUUGUAAUUUGAGUCCUAAAAUCAUGUAUUUAUAGCUUUUCUGUUUUAAUGACAGUAACUCUGCCCAAAAAUACACGUGUGUAAAUGUAAUCGUCUUGGUUAUGAAUGAACAACUUAUUUUCUGUAUAUUUAUAUAACUGAAAUUCAUGGUUUCCUCUGUGUACUAUGUUUUUUCUGUAAGGUUGUUCUUUCCAACAACAAGGCCACACCACCUCUGCCCUCAGCUCACCUAUAGUGAGGAAGUAGAGUGUCCAUGUUGUUUCCCAAGUACACAAAGUACAGCAAAAUGCUGGCUGUGAAAUGUCACCAACUGGAAUCACCACCAGAUUACCAAAUGUCCUGAAUAUGUCCAAUUUUUUGUUUACCUUUAUGAUGUUGCCUGUUAUUUUGGGCAUAGAAAGGACCUAGAGCCUCAUGGAGCAGUCUGACAGAGCUCCAGGUUUCUUCCUUUGCUUUUGCUGUUCCCACUAGAUGGUCACUGAUUCACAACAUGGAUUUACACCCAACUGUGAAGAUUUGUUACUUUGGGCCCUACCUUGAAUCCAGACUUUCUGGUCUACAAUGGAUGGCUCAGACAGUGCAUUAAGGCAUUCAGAGCAUAAUCUUGGUUUCUGGGGAGCCAAUAAUGCAUAUGCCUUUGUGUUGGAGGCAGCCUGUAUUUUCAACCCAUUUGGAGGUCAGGAGUACCCAGGCCUGUUUUUUCAUCCCCACUGAGAAAUUUAAGCACAUUCAAAACCUUCUAGCUACCUUUCUUUACCCCAAACUCACUGAGUAAUUUUAAACAGAUAAACAUAGUUCACUUGUUUUUUAAAUUUACUUCUUUGGUUUGAAAUGUCUUUGGUUUCCUUCAGCUUUUAUGAUGCAAAUUUAUCAAUAGCACUAAAACUUAGAUUUUUCAAGAAGGCGUGCAGCCAAAAUAACAACAUUAUAAAGUGGAUGCCGCAAAGAAAGGAAGUAGAAAUAUUGCUAAAAUUAUUUUUUUAUAUUUACAAUUAAUCUGCUCACUCCUAACUUCACUGUUGGAACAGGUCAGGGUGUAGGGUCUUUUUGGCAUGGUAGUAUGAAUCUCUUUGGGUUCCCAGAAAUCUGGGCUGCAGGUAUUAACCCCUCAGCUCCAUUCCUUGCAUGGCCAGACAUAGCACCGUGCCUUGCCUGGGGCUGCCUUGCUGCCUGCACGCCCUGCAAGUACGGUGCCCCAUACCUCCCUGCUUGGACGCUUCUAUUCAGAGGGUGAAGAAUGGCCUGGUGUUUAAAUUACUGGAUUGAGAUGCCUCCAGACUAAAAAAGUGGAAAAUUGUUUUUAAAUGUGGUUUCAUCUGACCUCCAGUAAAUCUGCUAACUUCAGCUUUCCCCCUACAAAUCAGGUACUGUUAGUUGGAGAGGAAUUAUAGAGGAAUGAAGGCAGGUUAAUUAACAUUGAUAAAAUACAGCUGUGGGCUGGCUUCAAGGGUGGUGGGUUGGCUGAUUUGGAUAAUAGCAGCUGUGGCUUAUUAUUGCUAAGUAGUUAAAUAGCACUGAAGAGAAAGAACUCUGAGUAAAGGAGGCAGAGAGCCCAAGAGAGCCCUGGAGGUGGGAGAGAAGGGGUGGCUGGAGGAGAAACAGCAUGGACAGUAGAUUCUGACAAAUGGUAAAGCCUUGUUGCAGCCUGAUAGCUUGCUUGUGCUGGGACAGUUAGGCUAAGUUUGUUGGAUACCAGGUGGUAGGAAGGAAAACAUAAUUAUUUAAAAAAAAAAUCCAAAUCCUGCUUCAUAGACAGAGCUCAUCUUGUGUAAGUAGGUCAGAGUUGUUACAGAAAAUGUAGUGGCAGUCAUACUAAUGAUAGGCUCUGGUAUGUUUAAUAGGUCCUGUUAACAUGUAAGACUUUUUUUCCCUGUUUCAAAAUUUACAUUUUGAAGUCAGAUGACUCAUGACAAUAUGUUUUUUCCUUCAGUGUGUAACACACUGACCUGGUGCCUUGGCAGCAGCACUGGGAAGCCACGGCGGUGAAUCCAGGUCCCCAGGUCUCUCAAGGAAGCACCCAUGAAAGGGUCCCUGGGAUUAAGAAGGAAGUAGAGGUUUUAAUGAAGCAGAUUCUAUUCUUCAGAGGGGUGAAGGAAGCUGUCUUGUGGUGCCCUCUCGAGGUAGGAGAGCUGCCCGGUUCAUUUGCUAUUUUAUGGCAGCAGGAACACAAACUGGAAACAGACCCUGGUGAAGAAGCUGCUGUUUGCUUUGAAAACAAAUCAAAUUUACUAUGGCUUUUCUUGGUGUGCAUUUUUAAAUGGCAAUCCAAAAUCUCUUUGUCUCCAGCUUUUCCAUGAGAUCAAGUACUCCAAAGGACACAAAGCACAGGGGAUCCUUCUUUGCAGUGCUCUGAAGCCACAGAGGCACGUUUGCCCAAAGUGUGAACCAAGGGAUCAUUGCUCUGUUUACAUGAAGGAAUGGAAAAUGUUUCCCACAACAUGCUCUUGUGUCCUUGAAGCUGAGCACAAAAUGCAUCAGGAAAUGCUGAUGUUUGGAUGCUGAAGUGGAUUAGGAAACCUUGCUGUAUCAGGAAGGCUAACCUUUGUGCUCAGGUCAGAUAGAGGGUCUUGUGCUUGUGGGGAGGGUCUGUGAGUGCGGUGCCUGUGCCUCCUGCUUGGAAGAAGCCAAAUGCCUUGGAUGUGAUCACCACCUCACUGUGGAAGACUGCAGACUGUAGGUUUCCCUUUAAAAGGGACUUUAGAUGUUUAGUCUUGAAAUACCUCUUGCCAGGUGACAGCAGAUUGUCAUUCAAAAAAUGCCUCAUUUAAAAUCCAACAAGGAGCAAGGAUUGGUAAUAUGGUGGGUCCUCAAGAGUCAGUGAGUUAAUCACUUCUGUUUAGGACUGGGGUAGGGUUGAUGCUGACUAUUUGGGGUGAGGACAUCCUGCUCAAGAGAUGAGCGUGCUAUGGGUGUGUGCUGGUUUAUUUGCAGUUUCCCUUACUGCUGCGUAGGAUAUAUUUAACUGCAGCCUCCAUGGUCACCUUCUCACAAGAUCCUGCUGAGUCAUCCAGGCUGUUUCUAUCUGAUCCCAUUCAAUGCUGGUAUGGGGUUUUCAGAAGAAUAGACACAGAAGGAAACUUCUGGUUUUAUUUUGUUGAAGCCUGAGUCCUUUCAGACCCGGUGCCCCGACAGCAAGGGUCACCGAGAAGUCUGUUGCAUCCAUUUGACCAAAACCUCUGUUUCUUUUACAAUAUACUCCUCAAACUAAGUGAGCACAGAGUGCUUGAUCUGGACUUGUUCUGAAGGCAAGCGGAGGCUGUGGCACCCUGCAGAGGUAUUGCACCCAGAGCCUGUGCGCCCAUGAGGCUCACCAACACAGUAGGCUGAUGAAUGCAACUCUACUUGGUUGUCUUAGCAAGUGGUAUGACACCUUUUCUCCUCCUGAUAGCUGAUAGCACGGCAGCUGUGAUUUUCUGAGGCAUCUGAACCAGGAGGCACCUGGGGAGCAAGAUUUUUUCAGUGAAGGGUUUUUUUGCUCUGACUUUCCUCUGCUGCUAUUAUAGAUGGCAGACUUUGUGAACUACAGCCCCUCCUCCACCCUGUCUUUUAUGGGCAGCUCAGUUUUGGAUUUCAGAAGGCUCUUCAUGUGUUGAUUUUGUGCAUGUAAUGGGUAAAUUUUUUUUUAAAAAAUAACAUCUCUGCUUCUCAUAGAUAACUUUUGAUGGGGGCAGUUGGAAAGUAAAUGUAAACAAAUGCAGAACAACAUGCUGAAUCUGAAGGCAUAAAUCCCUUCCACAGAGCUGCAAAUUGAAGACUCAAAGCUCCUGUUGUGUUGAAAAGAGGGACUCUUGGGCCCAACAAGGGCUCCUUGGGGCAGGAACCAUACGCAGCACAUUCAGAUCCAUGACCGGACAAAAUCGCUAUGAUAAUUGAGUAAUAACAACAAAAAGUCAUGGAAAGUAAGACAACAUUCAAUCAGUAUUUCAACUUUCUAUUUCUUCAGUGAAGAAAGUCAGCUUUUGUCUACAGUCCCGCCUUUCAUUUGAGACUGUGCUGUUAGGGAAUCUGAGUCUGCUCAAUACAUGGUCGUGGAUGAGACUGCUCUCUGGAUGAGCAUGAAGUUGUAGGAGGUGUUGGUUUAGGUGCAUCUCCGUGAGAAGCAGAUACUUGUGAUGACAAGUACUAUAUCUUGAUAACUAGGGAAGAAAUGAAGGAGAAAGGAGGCAGGUAUAUCUGGGUACUUUCUGGUCCGGUCAAGGUGUCGAGAGCAUUGGGGCCACAGAGGUCCAGUAGUGUCAUGUUUAAAAGCAGGCUGGUGGAAUAUGCUGGGGUGAUAAUCACAUUUCUUCCAGCCCUCAUACCCUCCUCUGCUCCCCUUUGUGCCACCCACUCAUCUAAGGAAAGGUGGCAUCUUUAUUCUGGUAGAAUUAACUAAUCAAAAUAUGCUGUUGGUGACUUCAAUUAUGAAUGUUUCCUCCCAUUCUUAAAAUGUUUCCACUUGUUUUCUUGGCAGGACCUUGAGGAUCUCUCCCGAGAGGUCCUUUCACAGAUACGCACAGAAUGAAUAGUUUAUCUCCAGCUCCCGCUGACUUUCAUUAAUAAUUUGAUGUAAAAACCUAAGUUGGACUUCUGCUGUGUUGGAUAACUUGGGAGUACCAGCUUCUAAUAUUCCAGCCACAGAACAAAACACUUUUUAGUUUUAGAGGUCCAAGUGGCCUUUCUGGCUUCCACUCACCCACAACCUUUCUUGGAAAUUUCCAGUACCUUACCAUUCCCUGCUUUAACUACCUGGCUGCUUCAGGCAUCCCAAAAAAUGAGAGAGGCUCUAUGGCUUCCAGCUGGCAGACCUUCUCUUGUGAAUGACAGCUGUUUCCUUAAACAAGAAGAUUUGGUGGGACAUAAGACCAUGUUUUUUACUGUUUCUUGUUUAAUUGCCCAGGUCUAUGUCAGAAAAUACGGUGGUCACUCCUGAAGGUGAGCAGCUUGUUUUACAGGGUGCAUUCAUCUGCCCAGUCUCACUGAAGACAAAUGGAAUUGCCUAUCUGAGUAAUGUCACACAUGUCCCUAAAUGAUUGCAAGAGACUGAAAGGAAUUGGAAGUAGAAAUAAUAGCACUACUUCAUCUCUCACAGAGCAGCGCCAACAAAAUAAUGAAGCCAUGUGAAUAAAGAACCAACCUAACAAUCAAGCUCUAACCAUUUUUUGAAAAUUAGCACUUCUUCCAAAACAGUAAUGGCUGCUGGGAAAAUGGUACAAAAUAUUAACUGUCAGGUUAAGCACACCUUAAUCAACAUGUGCCAAGUCCCACUGAUGUGUCCUCAAACCUGUUACUUAAGUACUUGUUAAGGCCAAUUAAAUAAACAAAAUUUUAAAGCCUAAUAGCAUAAACCACAUAAAUAACAUAAGAGCCAUAAUGGUUGAAUGGGUGGGUGUUUGGCCCUUCUUGAUUUAAGACAGUGAAGUGAAAAAUGUUGGAGCCCUUGAAGGUGAUUUUGAAGACGAGGAAGUGACUGUGCUACACAAACAGCAAUCAGAGACAAUUAAGAGAACUGGGACAAGUGCCUCAUUCUCUCUGCAGACUGCAUGGGAAAUUGCGCUUUACAUUUCAGUCAUGUUGCAUUUCAAAUAAGGCCCCCAGCUAUGUCAUUUUUCAAGUCCAACUCAAAUCAAAAGAUAUUGCUUAAAAUCUUUCUAUUACUCCAGAGUGAAAGGAAUGAUUGUCUAUGCUGAUGAGCCUGGAAGAUUGUCUUGAAAAGAAUUUGACAGUUUUGUUUUGCAGUCCCAUUAUAAUGUUAUUACUGCCCCUGAAGAAGACUGACAGAGCCUGAACAACAGCUUAAGUAUGAGGCUAGUUUAGGAUGGCACUCUGCUGCAGAUUUCAUGUUGUUUCUCUGCACAGUAGAGAAACUGUGCACUAUACUAUGCAUAUGUUUUCAUUUAAAGCUUAAUCUGAUGAAGAAUCUCAGAGAGCCUCUAUAGUAAUAAAAGAACAGAAAAUACAAGCAAGCUAAAAAAAUCCCAAACCCCAUCAAAAUGGAAAGAAUCAAAACAGGAAAAUUUGGAAAUAAUUAUCCAUGUCUAAUUAUAACCCUAUCCCUAUACAGAAUGCACAGCCCCUGGGUGAUACUUCUUUCAAGAACUUUCUGGUAAGUAUGGAAAUGUUUCAGUAUGCGAUUCAGAAAUUUCCUGACAUGCUGAAGGGGUCUCAGUUUUGUGGCCACCUUCGCAAAGACAGGAAUACAAUGAGCUUUCAGAGCUCUUGUAGCUGUUUUGGUUUGGCAUAAUAUGCCUAGAAACAAGCACCUUAGUUUUUAAAUUUGCUUGAAUACUGAUUUAAGUAACUAAAUUUCCCCUGGUGCAAAUGCUUAUCUACAUGUCAUUUGUGUAAUACAGUAACUUUUGCUGGUGUUCAUCCUCUUGGUUAUAGAUAAAAAGUAAUGGGGAAGUUAAGAUGAAGAAAACAAAUUAAGUCCCUUACUGGAAUAUCAGUGCUUUUUUAUGCAUAAGCAAGACAGUUUACUUCAAAAAAAAAAAAAAAAAAAAAAAAAAAUCCCAAGCACAAACCAGAGGGGUGGGAUGAGGUGUUGAGAGCAGGGACAAGUGCUAGAGGUGCUGCCAGGUUGUGCCAUGCUCAGCUGGAUGCCUGUGGCUGUGUUUCCUCUGAACCCUGAGGAAGCCCAGCGCCACUCGCUGCCCAGCCUUCACCUCCGGCUGCCUGCCAGGGAGAGAGCGGCGGCUCAGCAUCGGAGUGCUGAGCGACACGGAGACCGGGGGCUUCAGCUGCCUGCCCGCGAGGUGCCCAGCGACCCUUCCCUCAGCCAGCCCUGACUGCUCUGCUCACUGCUCUGAAAACCGGGAAGAUGGAGGGGCUGUGCUGCAUACAUAGAAGUGAUGCAAGAUGCAAGCUUUGCCUGGCAGCAGUUUUCCCAAGGAAGUAUCAAUUUCAUCUUCCUGUCGUCUUUGCAUAAGGCACUGUUUUUUCUUUUAAAGAGGCUUGUUUGGUGGUUUUUUAAUGAAAAAGGCUCUAAAUGUAAAUGUUCAAUUAUAAUGCUAAUUAAUAGAAAGUUAGUAUAAGAUCUCUGCCCAGAUAUAAUCAGUUCUGCAUAAACCGGGUCAUUUGAGAAAACAAGAGUCUAAAUCAAUUAUCUCUAGAUUAAAGAUUUAAACUUUUAUGUUUUGCUAUAUAACAAUUGACAGAUAAAUUACAGUUACAAUAACGACCUUGUACUUGCUGUCUUCAACCCAGUACACAAGCUACCCAGAUCUCUGGGGAAAAAAAAAAGGCAAUGCUUGUUGAUUUGUGAGAGCAAAUAUGCCCACUGAAAUGAAGAGGAAUUUGUAAUGGAAAUGGGCAGCUUCUGAGCCAUGGACUGUAGAAGUUAUUUAUAAAUGUGAUGACCUGAACAAGAAGCCUUUCCUAGUGUGGUGUCAGAAAGCAAGUUCGGUGAGGUCAUUCACAUAUGGAACAACACAAGAGAGAAAAAUGCUGCAAGACUACACUCACUGCUCUCAGAACCUUAACCCAGUACCCAGAAUUGUGACGGACAACGUCUCCAGCAGAAAUCUUAAAAUUUCAGUGGGACUUCCUUGGCGCAUGGCACUACUCUACUAAUGAUUGCAAAGCUGGGUCCUAACCUGCUUGUUUUAAAACAGUUCUAGCAAAUUUACAUUUGGGGGCAAAUUCUUGUCACGAGAAGCCCAAUGGGAGCUUUGUGACUUCGUUUCUGUAUUAUACAACAGUUAAAUUUUCCUUAUGUUUUCUUGUACCUCAAAUAUGUAACUCCUAACUGGAAGGAACAUAUUUAUGUACAGAAAAAUGAUGUAUAUAAACCCACAAUGUUUAUUAUUUUGUGUUCACUAGUAACUCUAUGGCUCUGCAUUAAUAUCACUCUGUUGUUUUCUGAAAGAGCCAAAAGGCCAAUGGGAGUGAAAUACCAACCUGAGAAAGCAGUCUAGCAAGGAAAGCAAUGCUGUCACUGCAGAGGGACUUCUAGCAGAAGCAGUGACACUUGCAGUUACUGAGACUGUCAGUCCAAAUCCGUGUUGCUUUGGUACCCCGGAUAAAGAUCAGGCCAACUUAAGAGCUGGCGACAUGCCAUGCAGACAGAUGGACAGAUUGGGGAGCAACACAUAGACUGUGCAGGAGCAUCAAGUGUGGAUUCUGAAGGCAGCAUUCCCAACUGGAAGGUUCCAAAGAGCUGGCCAGCCUGAGUUUUAAAAACAGUUUCUGGUUUAGGAAAUGCCACAAUUUUGUUCUAGAAGACCUGACAUACUGAACAAAUCAGUAGGAAGGGGUAUUGUAAUGUUGGUAAAGUUGGCUUGAGCUGCGCAGAAAGGAGAAAUUGAAUAAGGGAUGUUCCCUCUGAGCCCCAGAAAGAGUGAAGAUGAGAACUGGUGAAAGAGUUUCCCCGUGUUUCUCUGCAGCAGGGCAAAACAGUCAUACACUGCUAAGCAGCGCAGCGGAGGAAUUGCCAAAGCUGCUCGUUAGAGAUGGGGAGGAGAAAUCUCACCUUGGAUUCGGAAGCUGGAAUGAAUCACAAACUCACACUUCAGCCUUCCUCUUCAGAGAGAAUCAGCAUCAGGGUAGGGACACUACGGGACGACUCCUUUCCUGGGACAAGGGUAGCAUUUACUAGACAGGAUAAAAUUGGACUUUUACUAUUAAGCUGGAAAACUGAAACCCAAAGGUGGAAAUCUGAUGCCAGUGCAUUUUGUUUUUGAAGAAAAUAGUUUAGAAGAAUCUAUGUGAAUUUAAAUAUUUAUCUUCAAGCAGUUUAUUUCCUAGCACACCAAACUUUAAAUGGUUAAAUUAAAUGAUUCAACUCUUAAGUAAAAACGGGGCUGCUAUAUAGGAAUUUGAAUGAUUGGUCCUCGUGUGCAUCAGCAUCCCUUUGAUACCCUUACAAUAUAUCACCCCUUCCAUUUGCAAAAUGGACAGGGUUUUCCUGGGCGGAUACUCUAUCUAGACUGUAAUAUAUUCUGUCUUCUAAUAAUCAGUCCAAACUGCAUUUCAAAUGCCACUUCUACUCCAUUUUCUGUAAUUCAUUCAUUACUUCUUUCAGAUUCCUGGGUUGCGCCAUGUAUUUUGCCGGUGUUGACGCCUAUUGGGCAGUCAGGUCUAGAGUCAUUCCGGGCUGCUCUUGUUUGUGUUACUCUUGUUGUGAACUCAGUUUAUAUUCAACCUGGGAAUAUGAGUCAUAAAAGGCCAACACACACACAAAAAGAGGAGACAAUAUCCAGUGCAGUCAAUAUCAUGUCCAGUCACAAACUGGGUUAGAAAGGGACAGGAUGAGUGAAGGGACCGAUAAAGGGCACAAGUUUCUAGUUUUUUGAACUGCUUUAGAUUUGCUAAAUCAGAAAACUAUUACAAAGUGAGAGCACCGGUUUAUUGCUGGGCUCAUCUCUUUGGGUGCACUGCGAUGAUAACAGAAGUCACACCAACAGACACCCCCAUUGUUGCUCUUUGCAGAAGAAAGGAGUAUAUUAUUUAUCUGAAACUUUUGUUCUCAUGCAUGCAUGUGACUAAUGUUGUGGGAUCUGAGUGGGGCUGCACAUGUGGCAAUUACAAAAUAACAUACUGGGAGUGUAUUUUGAUGUCAAAGAAAAACUUUAAAGCAGCACCUUUAAUGGAUACUAGUAUAUUACAUAACUUUUUAAAGUUCAUGGAAGAAGAAACACCUUUCCAUUAAUGCACUUGCCUAAGACCUUUGUUCUUCUAUCAGAGACAACCAGUUCCCAUUAAUUUGGCAUUGAGAUGGGCAUGCAGCUGCACUUUUUGGGCUUCUACAGAUUACAUUUACAAGCUUAGUAAUAAUUUUAUGCCUACAGUACAUGAAAUAAAAGAAAUACAUUAAGGGAACAUGAAGGGUAUGAGUAUGCCAGCAGAACAAUUGAAUUGUUUAUACUUUAGGGUGAAAUCCUAAUCUGAGGACUUCUAAUGGGAUGUAUAUCAAAACCAGCUGAUCCAUGAAGGCUUCUAGUGCCAUCUCAGGACAAGACUUUGGAACACUACUCCAUUUUCCACAGCCACUGUACUUCCCACAUGAAGGUAAUACCCACAAAGGCUAGAUGGUGGUUGUGUUAUAUUCAGGAGGGCUCUGAUUUGCACCAUCAGAGGCCCAAGACCACAACUGUCAGUGUAGACAUUAUCUCACUGUUGGCCCUAUCUUGGCUUGCAAAGGUCAAGCACAGAACGUUGUGCACCACCAGCGGAGCAAAUAAAACCAUUACCAUGACCCCAGCUCUAACUCAGUGAUGUUACAAAGGGGUGAUUCUGGAUUUAAAUCUGCAUCGGCAUUUUUAAGGUCACCGAUUCUCUCUAAAGAAACAAAACAACACACAGACUUGUGUGCACACAAACACACACACAUACAAUAAUUAAAAGAAUUAACAGGGGACUUAAGUUUGUGUUGCAAACCAAGGUUCUUGUUAAGUGGAAAUUUGCCAUAUGCUCUCCAACACUAGACACAAAGAAGAGCCAUUUUACUAACUUAAACCUCCUACAGUUUUGCUGAAGGAUUGGAAUGCCCAUUGCUGUCGAUUGGCUUGUUUCAUUUAGAGCACUAAUGUUUAUUUUGGAGACUGUAUAUCAAGGUGACUCGGAAUAAGUUGUUUUGGGAAACUUUUUCUCUCAGGCUGCUGAGCCCAUAGUUUGAAGAGAAAGUAACAAAUAAUAAAAUGCAGAGGUGCCAGUGGGCUUAUUGUUACAAAUACUUGGAGGUUUCUAUGUCUUCCUUCUUUUUUUUUUUUUUCUUUAACAGUCCAAUUAUGUACCACAUAGCAGCAACUGGGCUAACAACAGCCAUAUGAUGGAAUAGCUUGUAAUCCGGUUGUGGGUCUAGCUCCAUGAGACAGACUCCAAGUAGAUGAGUUUUAAAUCUCCUUAGAAUUAAGAAGGGUUUGGCAACCAAAUUAAUUGUUUUGGAAAAAUCCUGCUUUAUGGAUCAUGAAGAGGAUAAAAAGGGAAAAAACAUGUCAUCUGUAGUGGUUAGUCAGAUGUUCUUUUAGAGUUACAACGAUUUCCUCUCUAAUUCUUCUUGUUGACAUUCCCGUUAAAAGAAUAAUGAGUACUAGAUUCGUUGCCUUAGUGCUACUCAUCCCUGUGUACAUUACGAAAUCUUUGCAUUAAGCUACCCAAAUGGAUUGAAUGAUACUGUAAGGCAGACAUUACAAACAAUUGCACUCAACUGUAAGCAUGCAUAAAAGCAAAGUAUAAACUGAUAUGCUAAGAUACAAGUGAUAUUAAUCGCUGGUAACCUGUAUAGUAGUUUGUUUCAAAGAAGUAGUGGGGUCCAGACAACCGAGAGCAUGCAUCAAUCUGGUUUAGCAAGACUGAAUUAUUUUAGCCUUUGGAUUUUUAAUAUUUAUGUAGUUCCCCUUUUACCAGUGAGGUUGUGAUGCUUUGGAAAAAUAUGUUAUAUGUAUUAUUAAUGCCAUGUUUAAAUAAUGGGAGACAAUUAAACAAUCACUGGGUACUAGUUUCCCAGGUGUAUUUCUGGUUUAUGUAUUUUGCAGAUAUAUAAUGUAUUCUCACAAAGGCUACGUUACUUAAUUACCCAAUGCUUUUAAAGUAUUUUGGUAAAAAUAGGUGUGCAAAAAAAAGGUAUUAUUAUUUCACAGGUGGCAUAAAAGCAGCUUCAUUAAGGAGGCUGGUACUGAUAGUCCUUUCAUACAGAAAGCCAGGAGAUGGUUCUUCACAUGGUACAUUAAACAGUGAAAUAUGCCAAUUUUGACUUGAUUUCUAUGCUGCUAAACUACCCCACAUUCAUUUGCUUCAGCUUUAAGCCCUUCCAUUCUAGUAUUCUCUAGCCCCAGUUACAGAAUUGCAGCUUGCUUUUCACCUAUCUUCUAACAGUUUAACAUAGAUGUCUGGGUCCAGUCCAUUGUUCCAAUUGUAUAUAGUUUAAAAAGCUCUGCAGUAUUUUACUCUUUCCAUUAUAUCUUGGCUUCCCUGAGCGCUCUGCUCACUGCAUUUUGCUUGUACUGGCUCUGUUUUCUAAACCCAUUUAUGGCUUUUUUUCUGUACACACUUGUUCAUUGGGGAGCUUAAAUUGACUUCUCUCUAUUCUGUUUCCUUAACUAAAACCGCACCAUUAAGGUUGAUUGAAGUCUUUUGAAAACACUUCAUAAAAAAUGAAAGGCCAUAAGAAAUUAGGCUACCAGUGUUUGCAAAUACCUGUUUUCAGCCAAAUUGAUGGGAAGGAAUAAGAACUGAAAUUUAAAAAUG